AAAUUGAAGAGUUUGAUCAUGGCUCAGAUUGAACGCUGGCGGCAGGCCUAACACAUGCAAGUCGAACGGUAACAGGAAGCAGCUUGCUGCUUCGCUGACGAGUGGCGGACGGGUGAGUAAUGUCUGGGAAACUGCCUGAUGGAGGGGGAUAACUACUGGAAACGGUGGCUAAUACCGCAUAACGUCGCAAGACCAAAGAGGGGGACCUUCGGGCCUCUUGCCAUCAGAUGUGCCCAGAUGGGAUUAGCUGGUUGGUGAGGUAACGGCUCA
RNAcentral lists this ribosomal RNA (270 nucleotides) under Salmonella enterica. RNAcentral describes it as "partial 16S ribosomal RNA". It matches the Rfam family "Bacterial small subunit ribosomal RNA", at positions 1 to 267 of the family's 1533-position model. The record is from RNAcentral. RNAcentral also lists the same sequence under 2 other names. Lineage: Bacteria; Pseudomonadati; Pseudomonadota; Gammaproteobacteria; Enterobacterales; Enterobacteriaceae.